GGUCGCAUAGUCUAGUGGUUAUGAUAUCUGCUUUACAGGAAGGUGGGGUAUUGAUCGGGUCGCAGGUUCGAGCCCUGCUGCGACCA
This 86-nucleotide transfer RNA is filed under the name Rhizoctonia solani AG-8 WAC10335. RNAcentral's name for it is "tRNA-Val (TAC) (tRNA-Val-TAC-1-1)". It matches the Rfam family "tRNA". Rfam says of the family: Transfer RNA (tRNA) molecules are approximately 80 nucleotides in length. Their secondary structure includes four short double-helical elements and three loops (D, anti-codon, and T loops). Lineage: Eukaryota; Fungi; Basidiomycota; Agaricomycetes; Cantharellales; Ceratobasidiaceae. The record is from RNAcentral.